GUAUUUUCAACGUGUAAUUGGUUUAUCUGGAUAUAGCAUCAUCAUAAGUUCAGGAGCAUCUGUAUCGGUUUAGAGGGCGAAAAAUAAGCAAACACUAAAGCAGCACUAGGAAAUGUGGAAGAGUGAUACCAGCUGAAGCAAAACAUUUCUGAAUGAUAUAAAGCAGAUAGGAUUUGUUUGAUGAAAUAACCAAAUAGAACUGGUAGGUACAGUUAAUACAAAUGAAAGAGAGUAGCAGUGGAAGAAGAAAGGAGUUUGUUCAAUUUUAAACAGAACUUUGAAAAGUUUGGAGAUUUUUGGAAAAGCCCGGGGAUCGUAAUUAUGAAGAGAAUUCAUAGGUUGAAGCUCCAAAUCCCAAUGGGAUAAUAUUAUGAGAUGGGGCCUCUGGUGGUAAUUAGGUUAUGAAGGUGGAAUCC
Molecule: long non-coding RNA, 416 nt
Organism: Homo sapiens (human)
Lineage: Eukaryota; Metazoa; Chordata; Mammalia; Primates; Hominidae
Exons: 3
Source: RefSeq, a predicted model, not a curated record